RNAcentral lists this microRNA precursor (78 nucleotides) under Schistosoma mattheei. Its description in RNAcentral is "mir-3492 microRNA precursor family". It matches the Rfam family "mir-3492 microRNA precursor family". Lineage: Eukaryota; Metazoa; Platyhelminthes; Trematoda; Strigeidida; Schistosomatidae. The record is from Rfam by way of RNAcentral.
AGCUUUUCGAAUCCGUGCUGAGUUUUCGUCCGAUACCAACCCAUUAGAGCUGAUCAGACUUCCAAGAUAUGUGAAGUU